AGCAGCCGCGGUAAUUCCAGCUCCAAUAGCGUAUAUUAAAGUUGUUGCAGUUAAAAAGCUCGUAGUUGAAUUUCGGAAUCUGUCCAUCGGUCGGGCUUCACUGUCCGUACUGGUGUGGUGGGUUCUUACCUUCUGAAUAACCAGCAUGCCAUUAAUUUGGUGCGUUGGGGAAGCAGGACUAUUACCUUGAAAAAAUUAGAGUGCUCAAAGCAGGCC
Molecule: ribosomal RNA, 216 nt
Filed under: uncultured Acaulospora
Lineage: Eukaryota; Fungi; Glomeromycota; Glomeromycetes; Diversisporales; Acaulosporaceae
Description: partial small subunit ribosomal RNA
Rfam family: Eukaryotic small subunit ribosomal RNA
Source: RNAcentral